UUGAACGCUGGCGGCAGGCCUAACACAUGCAAGUCGAACGGUAACAGGAAGCAGCUUGCUGUUUCGCUGACGAGUGGCGGACGGGUGAGUAAUGUCUGGGAAACUGCCUGAUGGAGGGGGAUAACUACUGGAAACGGUAGCUAAUACCGCAUAACGUCGCAAGACCAAAGAGGGGGACCCUCGGGCCUCUUGCCAUCGGAUGUGCCCAGAUGGGAUUAGCUUGUUGGUGGGGUAACGGCUCACCAAGGCGACGAUCCCUAGCUGGUCUGAGAGGAUGACCAGCCACACGGGAACUGAGACACGGUCCAGACUCCUACGGGAGGCAGCAGUGGGGAAUAUUGCACAAUGGGCGCAAGCCUGAUGCAGCCAUGCCGCGUGUAUGAAGAAGGCCUUCGGGUUGUAAAGUACUUUCAGCGGGGAGGAAGGGAGUAAAGUUAAUACCUUUGCUCAUUGACGUUACCCGCAGAAGAAGCACCGGCUAACUCCGUG
RNAcentral lists this ribosomal RNA (489 nucleotides) under uncultured bacterium. Its description in RNAcentral is "partial 16S ribosomal RNA". It matches the Rfam family "Bacterial small subunit ribosomal RNA", at positions 30 to 507 of the family's 1533-position model. The record is from RNAcentral.